CCUAACACAUGCAAGUCGAACGGUAACAGGAAGAAGCUUGCUUCUUUGCUGACGAGUGGCGGACGGGUGAGUAAUGUCUGGGAAACUGCCUGAUGGAGGGGGAUAACUACUGGAAACGGUAGCUAAUACCGCAUAACGUCGCAAGACCAAAGAGGGGGACCUUCGGGCCUCUUGCCAUCGGAUGUGCCCAGAUGGGAUUAGCUUGUUGGUGGGGUAACGGCUCACCAAGGCGACGAUCCCUAGCUGGUCUGAGAGGAUGACCAGCCACACUGGAACUGAGACACGGUCCAGACUCCUACGGGAGGCAGCAGUGGGGAAUAUUGCACAAUGGGCGCGAGCCUGAUGCAGCCAUGCCGCGUGUAUGAAGAAGGCCUUCGGGUUGUAAAGACUUUCAGCGGGGAGGAAGGGAGUAAAGUUAAUACCUUUGCUCAUUGACGUUACCCGCAGAAGAAGCACCGGCUAACUCCGUGCCAGCAGCCGCGGUAAUACGGAGGGUGCAAGCGUUAAUCGGAAUUACUGGGCGUAAAGCGCACGCGGGCGGUUUGUUAAGUCAGAUGUGAAAUCCCCGGGCUCAACCUGGGAACUGCAUCUGAUACUGGCAAGCUUGAGUCUCGUAGAGGGGG
Molecule: ribosomal RNA, 623 nt
Filed under: uncultured bacterium
Lineage: Bacteria
Description: bacterial SSU rRNA
Rfam family: Bacterial small subunit ribosomal RNA
Source: RNAcentral